GGUUAAGCGACUAAGCGUACACGGUGGAUGCCCUGGCAGUCAGAGGCGAUGAAGGACGUGCUAAUCUGCGAAAAGCGUCGGUAAGGUGAUAUGAACCGUUAUAACCGGCGAUGUCCGAAUGGGGAAACCCAGUGCAAUUCGUUGCACUAUCGUUAACUGAAUACAUAGGUUAACGAGGCGAACCGGGGGAACUGAAACAUCUAAGUACCCCGAGGAAAAGAAAUCAACCGAGAUUCCCCCAGUAGCGGCGAGCGAACGGGGAGCAGCCCAGAGUCUGAAUCAGCUUGUGUGUUAGUGGAACGGUCUGGAAAGUCCGACGGUACAGGGUGAUAGUCCCGUACACCAAAAUGCACAGGCUGUGAACUCGAAGAGUAGGGCGGGACACGUGGUAUCCUGUCUGAAUAUGGGGGGACCAUCCUCCAAGGCUAAAUACUCCUGACUGACCGAUAGUGAACCAGUACCGUGAGGGAAAGGCGAAAAGAACCCCGGCGAGGGGAGUGAAAAAGAACCUGAAACCGUGUACGUACAAGCAGUGGGAGCACCUUCGGGUGUGACUGCGUACCUUUUGUAUAAUGGGUCAGCGACUUAUAUUCUGUAGCAAGGUUAACCGUAUAGGGGAGCCGCAGGGAAACCGAGUCUUAACUGGGCGUUAAGUUGCAGGGUAUAGACCCGAAACCCGGUGAUCUAGCCAUGGGCAGGUUGAAGGUUGGGUAACACUAACUGGAGGACCGAACCGACUAAUGUUGAAAAAUUAGCGGAUGACUUGUGGCUGGGGGUGAAAGGCCAAUCAAACCGGGAGAUAGCUGGUUCUCCCCGAAAGCUAUUUAGGUAGCGCCUCGUGAACUCAUCUUCGGGGGUAGAGCACUGUUUCGGCUAGGGGGUCAUCCCGACUUACCAACCCGAUGCAAACUACGAAUACCGAAGAAUGUUAUCACGGGAGACACACGGCGGGUGCUAACGUCCGUCGUGAAGAGGGAAACAACCCAGACCGCCAGCUAAGGUCCCAAAGUCAUGGUUAAGUGGGAAACGAUGUGGGAAGGCACAGACAGCCAGGAUGUUGGCUUAGAAGCAGCCAUCAUUUAAAGAAAGCGUAAUAGCUCACUGGUCGAGUCGGCCUGCGCGGAAGAUGUAACGGGGCUAAACCAUGCACCGAAGCUGCGGCAGCGACACUAUGUGUUGUUGGGUAGGGGAGCGUUCUGUAAGCCUGCGAAGGUGUGCUGUGAGGCAUGCUGGAGGUAUCAGAAGUGCGAAUGCUGACAUAAGUAACGAUAAAGCGGGUGAAAAGCCCGCUCGCCGGAAGACCAAGGGUUCCUGUCCAACGUUAAUCGGGGCAGGGUGAGUCGACCCCUAAGGCGAGGCCGAAAGGCGUAGUCGAUGGGAAACAGGUUAAUAUUCCUGUACUUGGUGUUACUGCGAAGGGGGGACGGAGAAGGCUAUGUUAGCCGGGCGACGGUUGUCCCGGUUUAAGCAUGUAGGCUGAUUGUCCAGGCAAAUCCGGAUAAUCAAGGCUGAGGUGUGAUGACGAGGCACUACGGUGCUGAAGUAACAAAUGCCCUGCUUCCAGGAAAAGCCUCUAAGCAUCAGGUAACAUCAAAUCGUACCCCAAACCGACACAGGUGGUCAGGUAGAGAAUACCAAGGCGCUUGAGAGAACUCGGGUGAAGGAACUAGGCAAAAUGGUGCCGUAACUUCGGGAGAAGGCACGCUGGUGUGUAGGUGAAGUCCCUGCGGAUGGAGCUGAGACCAGUCGAAGAUACCAGCUGGCUGCAACUGUUUAUUAAAAACACAGCACUGUGCAAACACGAAAGUGGACGUAUACGGUGUGACGCCUGCCCGGUGCCGGAAGGUUAAUUGAUGGGGUUAUCCGUAAGGAGAAGCUCUUGAUCGAAGCCCCGGUAAACGGCGGCCGUAACUAUAACGGUCCUAAGGUAGCGAAAUUCCUUGUCGGGUAAGUUCCGACCUGCACGAAUGGCGUAAUGAUGGCCAGGCUGUCUCCACCCGAGACUCAGUGAAAUUGAACUCGCUGUGAAGAUGCAGUGUACCCGCGGCAAGACGGAAAGACCCCGUGAACCUUUACUAUAGCUUGACACUGAACAUUGAGCCUUGAUGUGUAGGAUAGGUGGGAGGCUUUGAAGCGUGGACGCCAGUCUGCGUGGAGCCAACCUUGAAAUACCACCCUUUAAUGUUUGAUGUUCUAACGUUGGCCCCUGACCGGGGUUGCGGACAGUGUCUGGUGGGUAGUUUGACUGGGGCGGUCUCCUCCCAAAGCGUAACGGAGGAGCACGAAGGUUAGCUAAUCCUGGUCGGACAUCAGGAGGUUAGUGCAAUGGCAUAAGCUAGCUUGACUGCGAGCGUGACGGCGCGAGCAGGUGCGAAAGCAGGUCAUAGUGAUCCGGUGGUUCUGAAUGGAAGGGCCAUCGCUCAACGGAUAAAAGGUACUCCGGGGAUAACAGGCUGAUACCGCCCAAGAGUUCAUAUCGACGGCGGUGUUUGGCACCUCGAUGUCGGCUCAUCACAUCCUGGGGCUGAAGUAGGUCCCAAGGGUAUGGCUGUUCGCCAUUUAAAGUGGUACGCGAGCUGGGUUUAGAACGUCGUGAGACAGUUCGGUCCCUAUCUGCCGUGGGCGCUGGAGAAUUGAGGGGGGCUGCUCCUAGUACGAGAGGACCGGAGUGGACGCAUCACUGGUGUUCGGGUUGUCAUGCCAAUGGCACUGCCCGGUAGCUAAAUGCGGAAGAGAUAAGUGCUGAAAGCAUCUAAGCACGAAACUUGCCCCGAGAUGAGUUCUCCCUGAGACUUUAAGUCUCCUGAAGGAACGUUGAAGACGACGACGUUGAUAGGCCGGGUGUGUAAGCGCAGCGAUGCGUUGAGCUAACCGGUACUAAUGAACCGUGAGGCUUAACCUUAC
Molecule: ribosomal RNA, 2904 nt
Filed under: Klebsiella pneumoniae ATCC BAA-2146
Lineage: Bacteria; Pseudomonadati; Pseudomonadota; Gammaproteobacteria; Enterobacterales; Enterobacteriaceae
Description: bacterial LSU rRNA
Rfam family: Bacterial large subunit ribosomal RNA
Source: RNAcentral